This 30-nucleotide non-coding RNA is filed under the name Rattus norvegicus (Norway rat). Lineage: Eukaryota; Metazoa; Chordata; Mammalia; Rodentia; Muridae. The record is from RNAcentral.
UACAUCUCCUGUGUUGGUGAAUAGUGCAUU